Molecule: long non-coding RNA, 205 nt
Organism: Homo sapiens (human)
Lineage: Eukaryota; Metazoa; Chordata; Mammalia; Primates; Hominidae
Exons: 2
Source: RefSeq, a predicted model, not a curated record
UCUUCACAGAGUUGAGUGCUCCAAACAGAAUCAAACUCCAAUGAAUAACAAGUAAUUUUGGAAUGUUUUACAUCAUGAUGGAACUGCUGUUUAGAUGCAGGAAAACAAGCUCCAGGCUCCCACUGAUUCUACAUGAUGGUGAGUUGCAUAAUUAUUUCAUUAUUUAUUACAACACCUAUAGAAAUAAAGUACACAAUAAAUGUAA